CAGGAUUCCCUAGUAACUGCGAGUGAAGCGGGAAAAGCUCAAAUUUAAAAUCUGGUAGUCUCUGGCUGCCCGAGUUGUAAUCUAGAGAAGCGUUAUCCGCGCUGGACCGUGUAUAAGUCUCCUGGAAUGGAGCGUCAUAGAGGGUGAGAAUCCCGUCUUUGACACGGACUACCAGGGCUUUGUGAUGCGCUCUCAAAGAGUCGAGUUGUUUGGGAAUGCAGCUCUAAAUGGGUGGUAAAUUCCAUCUAAAGCUAAAUAUUGGCGAGAGACCGAUAGCGAACAAGUACCGUGAGGGAAAGAUGAAAAGAACUUUGGAAAGAGAGUUAAACAGUACGUGAAAUUGUUGAAAGGGAAACGCUUGAAGUCAGUCGCGUUGGCUAGGAAUCAGCCUUGCUUUUGCUUGGUGUACUUCCUUGUUGACGGGUCAGCAUCAAUUUUGACCGGUGGAAAAAGGCUAGUGGAAUGUGGCAUCUUCGGAUGUGUUAUAGCUGCUAGUUGUAUACAUCGGUUGGGAUUGAGGAACUCAGCACGCCGAAAGGUCGGGGUUUUGCCCACGUUCGUGCUUAGGAUGCUGGCAUAAUGGCUUUAAUCGACCCGUCUUGAAACACGGACCAAGGAGUCUAACAUGCCUGCGAGUGUUUGGGUGGAAAACCCGAGCGCGUAAUGAAAGUGAAAGUUGAGAUCCCUGUCGUGGGGAGCAUCGACGCCCGGACCAGACCUUUUGUGACGGAUCCGCGGUAGAGCAUGUAUGUUGGGACCCGAAAGAUGGUGAACUAUGCCUGAAUAGGGUGAAGCCAGAGGAAACUCUGGUGGAGGCUCGUAGCGAUUCUGACGUGCAAAUCGAUCGUCAAAUUUGGGUAUAGGGGGCGAAAGACUAAUCGAAACCAUCUAAGUAGCUGGGUUCCUGCCGAAGUUUCCCCUCA
RNAcentral lists this ribosomal RNA (923 nucleotides) under Clitopilus prunulus. RNAcentral describes it as "eukaryotic LSU rRNA". It matches the Rfam family "Eukaryotic large subunit ribosomal RNA", at positions 70 to 975 of the family's 3401-position model. Lineage: Eukaryota; Fungi; Basidiomycota; Agaricomycetes; Agaricales; Entolomataceae. The record is from RNAcentral.